RNAcentral lists this ribosomal RNA (1146 nucleotides) under Levilactobacillus brevis. Its description in RNAcentral is "bacterial SSU rRNA". It matches the Rfam family "Bacterial small subunit ribosomal RNA", at positions 31 to 1146 of the family's 1533-position model. The record is from RNAcentral. Lineage: Bacteria; Bacillati; Bacillota; Bacilli; Lactobacillales; Lactobacillaceae.
GGAAGGUGGCGGCAGCCUAUACAUGCAGUCGAACGAGCUUCCGUUGAAUGACGUGCUUGCACUGAUUUUAACAAUGAAGCGAGUGGCGAACUGGUGAGUAACACGUGGGAAAUCUGCCCAGAAGCAGGGGAUAACACUUGGAAACAGGUGCUAAUACCGUAUAACAACAAAAUCCGCAUGGAUUUUGUUUGAAAGGUGGCUUCGGCUAUCACUUCUGGAUGAUCCCGCGGCGUAUUAGUUAGUUGGUGAGGUAAAGGCCCACCAAGACGAUGAUACGUAGCCGACCUGAGAGGGUAAUCGGCCACAUUGGGACUGAGACACGGCCCAAACUCCUACGGGAGGCAGCAGUAGGGAAUCUUCCACAAUGGACGAAAGUCUGAUGGAGCAAUGCCGCGUGAGUGAAGAAGGGUUUCGGCUCGUAAAACUCUGUUGUUAAAGAAGAACACCUUUGAGAGUAACUGUUCAAGGGUUGACGGUAUUUAACCAGAAAGCCACGGCUAACUACGUGCCAGCAGCCGCGGUAAUACGUAGGUGGCAAGCGUUGUCCGGAUUUAUUGGGCGUAAAGCGAGCGCAGGCGGUUUUUUAAGUCUGAUGUGAAAGCCUUCGGCUUAACCGGAGAAGUGCAUCGGAAACUGGGAGACUUGAGUGCAGAAGAGGACAGUGGAACUCCAUGUGUAGCGGUGGAAUGCGUAGAUUUAUGGAAGAACACCAGUGGCGAAAGCGGCUGUCUAGUCUGUAACUGACGCUGAGGCUCGAAAGCAUGGGUAGCGAACAGGAUUAGAUACCCUGGUAGUCCAUGCCGUAAACGAUGAGUGCUAAGUGUUGGAAGGUUUCCGCCCUUCAGUGCUGCAGCUAACGCAUUAAGCACUCCGCCCGGGGAGUACGACCGCAAGGUUGAAACUCAAAGGAAUUGACGGGGGCCCGCACAAGCGGUGGAGCAGGUGGUUUAAUUCGAAGCUACGCGAAGAACCUUACCAGGUCUUGACAUCUUCUGCCAAUCUUAGAGAUAAGACGUUCCCUUCGGGGACAGAAUGACAGGUGGUGCAGGGUUGUCGUCAGCUCGUGUCGUGAGAUGUUGGGUUAAGUCCCGCAACGAGCGCAACCCUUAUUAUCAGUUGCCAGCAUUCAUUUGGGCACUCUGGUGA